GAGUUUGAUCUUGGCUCAGAUUGAACGCUGGCGGCAUGCCUUACACAUGCAAGUCGAACGGUAACAGGUCUUCGGAUGCUGACGAGUGGCGAACGGGUGAGUAAUACAUCGGAACGUGCCCGAUCGUGGGGGGAUAACGAAGCGAAAGCUUUGCUAAUACCGCAUACGAUCUACGGAUGAAAGCAGGGGACCGCAAGGCCUUGCGCGAACGGAGCGGCCGAUGGCAGAUUAGGUAGUUGGUGGGAUAAAAGCUUACCAAGCCGACGAUCUGUAGCUGGUCUGAGAGGACGACCAGCCACACUGGGACUGAGGCACGGCCCAGACUCCUACGGGAGGCAGCAGUGGGGAAUUUUGGACAAUGGGCGAAAGCCUGAUCCAGCCAUGCCGCGUGCAGGAUGAAGGCCUCGGUUGU
Molecule: ribosomal RNA, 412 nt
Filed under: uncultured microorganism
Description: bacterial SSU rRNA
Rfam family: Bacterial small subunit ribosomal RNA
Source: RNAcentral